Molecule: ribosomal RNA, 253 nt
Filed under: uncultured bacterium
Lineage: Bacteria
Description: partial 16S ribosomal RNA
Rfam family: Bacterial small subunit ribosomal RNA
Source: RNAcentral
UACGGGGGGGGCAAGCGUUGUUCGGAAUUACUGGGCGUAAAGGGUUCGUAGGCGGCCAACUAAGUCAGACGUGAAAUCCCUCGGCUUAACCGGGGAACUGCCUCUGAUACUGGAUGGCUUGAGAUUGGGAGAGGGAUGCGGAAUUCCAGGUGUAGCGGUGAAAUGCGUAGAUAUCUGGAGGAACACCGGUGGCGAAGGCGGCAUCCUGGACCAACACUGACGCUGAGGAGCGAAAGCCAGGGGAGCAAACGGG